RNAcentral lists this ribosomal RNA (613 nucleotides) under uncultured Verrucomicrobiota bacterium. RNAcentral describes it as "bacterial SSU rRNA". It matches the Rfam family "Bacterial small subunit ribosomal RNA", at positions 77 to 673 of the family's 1533-position model. The record is from RNAcentral. Lineage: Bacteria; Pseudomonadati; Verrucomicrobiota.
UAGCAAUACGAUGGAAAGUCUAGUGGCGAACGGGUGCUUAACACGUGGGCAACCUGCCAAGAAGUGGGGGAUAGCUCGCCGAAAGGCGAAUUAAUACCGCAUGUGAUUAGAGUGGACAUCCAUUCGAAAUUAAAGUCGGGGCAACCUGACGCUUCUUGUGGGGCCCGCGGCCUAUCAGCUAGUUGGUGAGGUAACGGCUCACCAAGGCUUUGACGGGUAGCUGGUCUGAGAGGACGACCAGCCACACUGGGACUGAGACACGGCCCAGACACCUACGGGUGGCAGCAGUCGAGAAUUUUUGACAAUGGGGGAAACCCUGAUCGAGCGACGCCGCGUAGAGGGUGAAGGUCUUCGGAUUGUAAACUCCUGUCAUUGGGGAACAAUGCGUGACGCUUAACUGCCGUUGCGUUGAUAGUACCCGAAGAGGAAGAGACGGCUAACUCUGUGCCAGCAGCCGCGGUAAUACAGAGGUCUCAAGCGUUGUUCGGAUUCAUUGGGCGUAAAGGGUGCGUAGGCGGCGCGGUAAGUCGGGUGUGAAAUCUCGGAGCUUAACUCCGAAACUGCAUUCGAUACUGCCGUGCUUGAGGACUGGAGAGGAGACUGGAAUUCAGGG